RNAcentral lists this ribosomal RNA (409 nucleotides) under uncultured Pseudomonadota bacterium. RNAcentral describes it as "bacterial SSU rRNA". It matches the Rfam family "Bacterial small subunit ribosomal RNA", at positions 810 to 1222 of the family's 1533-position model. The record is from RNAcentral. Lineage: Bacteria; Pseudomonadati; Pseudomonadota.
UGUCAACUAGUUGUNGGNNCUNACUAGGCUUGGUAACGUAGCUAACGCGUGAAGUUGACCGCCUGGGGAGUACGGCCGCAAGGUUAAAACUCAAAUGAAUUGACGGGGGCCCGCACAAGCGGGGGAGCAUGUGGUUUAAUUCGAAGCAACGCGAAAAACCUUACCUGGCCUUGACAUGCCAUGAACUUUCCAGAGAUGGAUUGGUGCCNUCAAGAAAAUUGAGACACAGGUGCUGCAUGGGUGUCGUCAACUCCUGUUGUGAGAAGUUGGGGUAAAACCCGCAACGAGCGCAACCCUUGUCAUUUUUUGCCAUCAUCAAAAGCUUUNUANUANAACUGCCGGUGCCAAAACCCAGGAAGGGGGGGAUGACGUCAAGUCCUCAUGGCCCUUUUGGGUAGGGCUUCACACG